UGUGUUAUCAGAUAGUGAUUUAUUGAUUUGCAGUUAUGCCCAUGAAUGAAUCCGCAGAGAGCUCUAUCAGGGUGGAUGGCGAAAGCCCAGUGUGCAGUCUAGAUGAGGCUCUUACUUCUGUGGGGUUUGGGACAUUCCAAGUGCUUGCUUACGCUUGGUUGGAUUGCAGAAGCAAUGGAACUUAUGAUUCUAUCCUUGGUGGGACCCGUGGUUAAGUCCCAGUGGGAUCUCUCCCCAGGCCAAGAGAGUCUACUAUCAACCGUUGUUUUUGCUGGCAUGCUUGUUGGAGCAUUUUCUUGGGGCCUUGUUUCGGAUUACUAUGGAAGGAGGCAGGCCAUUUUCCUCUUAUUUCCUUCCAUUCUGAGAUGCUUUGCCUUGGAAGGGUUUGCUAGGACCAACUAUUCUUACUGGCGGAGCUGGAUUAUUCAGUACUUUCUCCCCAAAUUACGUAUCCCUGUUGAUUCUUCGCUGCUUGGUUGGCGUUGGCGUUGGCGUUGGCGGGACGACUGUUUUCUGCUCCUGGUUUCUAGAGUUUGCUCCCUCCUGGAAUGCUUGUUUCUGAUAGUACAAUUGGACUGGAUGAAGAAUCUUCUGCGUCAGAAUAUACCCCUCUACUCUCGUCAACUAGAAAAAUAAAUCUGGAUUUUGGAUCAGGCUUCUCAUCGUUUGUUAUGCUUUUCUCAUCAAAACUAAUUCCAACGACGCUUUUUGUAUGGGUGUUACACUUUUGGAAAAAUAUUCUCUUUUUAUGGUAUGUUGUUGCUGGCUUCAGAACUAAGUAGGGAGCAAAGCAAAAGUGGCUCGAGCACUGUCUUGCGAUCAGAAAAUCUUCAGGAUGACAGCCUCCACGUAGAUGUAUUUAUUACUAGUUUGGCAGGUAUUGCAUGCACCGUCUCCUCCACCUGCACUUAAGGUUGAGGUUUGAGGAAUCCUCCAUGACAUGAAAUGUUUACUUUCUUUUUCUUUUUCUUUCUAUAUAUAUGCAUACAUGUAUCAUCCGAAGCAAUGACCGGGUAGUAUGUUUUCCUGAAACUCUAUGUUGUAGAGAUUCUGGGCUUAUUCUGUCAGCAAUUGUUGUGGAUACAAUUGGACGCAGGCUCUCGAUAUCAUUCAUGUUUGCCUCAGCUUGUAUUUUCCUCUCUCCUCUGUUUUACCAUCAAUCUGCAACUUUAACAACAACAUUGAUGUUCGGAGCUCGCAUGAGUAGCAGAGUACUCUCCACGCUUGCUACAAUAUAUGCUCAGGAGGUAAGCCCUGGAAUUCACGCAUUUCGUUGUAUCCGAAGGUGAAUGGUAGUACUUGCCAGUUCUUUUCAAGUUUCACACCUACUAGCGGUCAGUGUUGCAUGGUUCUGAAUAAUUGAUUGUCUUGGAUGCUGUUCCUGCGUUAUAUCCAACGGCUGUGAGGGCAACUGGUUUUGGGGUUGCAAGUGCUGUACGGAGGGUUGGUGGCAUGAUAACCCCCCUUGUAGCGGUCGGACUAGUGACCGGUGGCCAUCAUACAGAAGCUAUCAUCCUGCUAGACAUUGUGAUGGCUAUGUCAGGACUCUGUGUCCUGCUCAUCCCAGUCCAAACCAAGGGACAUGAAUUCAGUGACAGCGUAGAUGUAUCUGAUUCAAAACAAGUUGUUGCUGCCGGGCAGUAAUCUCAAACCCAAUCAAGCAUUGUAUAAAGGAAUGUUUUCUGUUAGACUUCCAAAACACCAAUGCAAAUCAUCCGCUAAGCUGCUCUGCAUUAUGUGGGAGUAAUGGUUCCCCCAAUGUAAAUCUCGUUUAUCUCCGAUUGCUUCUCCACCACUCUUUUUUUCUUUUGCUCGAAAUCUUCUCUACCUUGUAAGAUAUUACAUUAGU
Long non-coding RNA from Populus euphratica (Euphrates poplar), 1849 nucleotides. RefSeq lists it as uncharacterized. Lineage: Eukaryota; Viridiplantae; Streptophyta; Magnoliopsida; Malpighiales; Salicaceae. The record is from RefSeq and is a predicted model, not a curated record. The transcript is spliced from 3 exons.